This is a non-coding RNA of Myodes glareolus (Bank vole), 806 nucleotides long. NCBI's taxonomy places the organism in Eukaryota, Metazoa, Chordata, Mammalia, Rodentia, Cricetidae. The record is from RefSeq and is a predicted model, not a curated record.
GUCCAUAGGCCUCAGUCCCAGCUGAGGAACUCACAGUUGAUGGCUGUUAGGGGAAGACAAUCCAGCUUUCUUCAGGGGGUGGUGCCUGGUUUCAUGCUACCUGGAGGAACUCUGCAAGCAUCCAAAGGAAGGAGGGAUCAACAGUCCUAUGCAGCUAUGAUGCCUAUGAAUCAUAUCAAUGACCAGCACACCACAAUAACCUUACAGAUGCAGUCAUAGAACCUGUUCCUUGUUGGUACCUUGUUGCUCAAUAAUUGGACUUGAGACCCACUCAACAAGAGGAAAACCACUCAGUGCAAGUAAGUGUCAUCUUCACCUCUCAUCAGGGAAACUUCUCCUUGUAACAGAUGGAGACUCCUACAGAACACCACAACCAACCAAAAUGCAGAGUUGUGGGGCCGAGUCCCAAUUGACACAUCUACAAUAAAACUUCCACCCUAAGGCUCAGGGAACAUUAUGGAAAAGGGGAUGGAAAGACUGUACGAGCCAGAGGAUCAGGGAGUUGGCUGCAAGAUUGUGCUUCCUGGAAUAUCAGAAGCUACAGCCAUAAACUAUCGCCCACAUGACUGCCUAACCAGGAGCUGAACAAGGAUGAAGCCAAAUUAAAAUGCCAAACCGGAUGGAGAAAAGACCACAAGGCCUCAAGCCUACACAAAGAAGGCAACUGAGAAAAUCUGAGAAGGGAGAGGUGGCCGUCCCCAGGGAAGAACACACAAAUUGGUUGUCUAGUGCCAAAUGGUCAGCCAUAAAAACAUUUACAGGUAUCAUUAAAUAGACUGAAGAGAUUAUUUUUGGGAAUAGAUGUG